Molecule: RNase P RNA, 379 nt
Filed under: Pseudomonadales bacterium
Lineage: Bacteria; Pseudomonadati; Pseudomonadota; Gammaproteobacteria; Pseudomonadales
Description: RNase P RNA component class A
Rfam family: Bacterial RNase P class A
About the family: Ribonuclease P (RNase P) is a ubiquitous endoribonuclease, found in archaea, bacteria and eukarya as well as chloroplasts and mitochondria. Its best characterised activity is the generation of mature 5'-ends of tRNAs by cleaving the 5'-leader elements of precursor-tRNAs.
Source: RNAcentral
CGAGUCGGCCAGACAGUCGCUGGCAGCAACAGCUGCGAGAGGAAAGUCCGGGCUCCACAGGACGAGGUGCCAGGUAACGCCUGGGGGGCGUGAGCCCACGGAAAGUGCAGCAGAAAGCAAACCGCCUAAGUCGCAGCGCUGCGGCGCUGCGAACGGUAAGGGUGAAAGGGUGCGGUAAGAGCGCACCGCGCGCGUGGUAACACUGCGCGGCUAGGUAAACCCCGCCUGGAGCAAGGCCAAAUAGGAACCCAACGGUGUGGUCCGCAUCGGGUUCGGGUAGGCCGCACGAGGCGUUCGGUGACGGGCGCCCUAGAUGAAUGACUGUCGGCCACGUCCUAGGAUGUGGCAACAGAACCCGGCUUAUCGGCCGACUCAGCCA